This 253-nucleotide ribosomal RNA is filed under the name uncultured bacterium. RNAcentral describes it as "partial 16S ribosomal RNA". It matches the Rfam family "Bacterial small subunit ribosomal RNA", at positions 524 to 776 of the family's 1533-position model. The record is from RNAcentral.
UACAGAGGGUGCAAACGUUGCUCGGAAUUAUUGGGCGUAAAGCGCACGUAGGCGGUUCGUUAAGUCGGAUGUGAAAGCCCUGGGCUCAACUCAGGAAGUGCAUACGAAACUGGCGAGCUUGAAUAUGGAAGAGGGUCGCGGAAUUCCCGGUGUAGAGGUGAAAUUCGUAGAUAUCGGGAGGAACACCAGUGGCGAAGGCGGCGACCUGGGCCAAUAUUGACGCUGAGGUGCGAAAGCGUGGGGAGCAAACAGG